CACGUAGGCACCAAGCGUUAUCCGGAUUUAUUGGGCGUAAAGAGCUCGUAGGCGGUUUGUCGCGUCUGCUGUGAAAACUCGAGGCUCAACCUCGGGCUUGCAGUGGGUACGGGCAGACUAGAGUGCGGUAGGGGUGACUGGAAUUCCUGGUGUAGCGGUGGAAUGCGCAGAUAUCAGGAGGAACACCGAUGGCGAAGGCAGGUCACUGGGCCGCAACUGACGCUGAGGAGCGAAAGCAUGGGGAGCGAACAGG
Molecule: ribosomal RNA, 253 nt
Filed under: uncultured bacterium
Lineage: Bacteria
Description: partial 16S ribosomal RNA
Rfam family: Bacterial small subunit ribosomal RNA
Source: RNAcentral